Molecule: unclassified non-coding RNA, 394 nt
Filed under: soil metagenome
Description: partial contains 5.8S ribosomal RNA, internal transcribed spacer 2, and large subunit ribosomal RNA
Rfam family: 5.8S ribosomal RNA (bases 1-120)
Source: RNAcentral
GAUGAAGAACGUAGCGAAAUGCGAUAGGUAAUGUGAAUUGCAGAAUUCAGUGAAUCAUCGAAUCUUUGAACGCACCUUGCGCCUUUUGGUAUUCCGAAAGGCACACCUGUUUGAGCGUCAUGAAUACCUCAAUCUCCAUCUUUUCUUCGGAUUGAUGGGUGACUUGGAUGUUGAGCCCUGCUGGUAUGCUAUAUCAGCUGGCUUUAAACUUAUUAGCCGGCUCUGUACUGGAUCGGUUUGACUCGACGUGAUAAUAUUAUCGUUGAGGAUGCAUGUCUCAUGCAGCCGGAAAGUAUCAAAGCAGCUUCUAGCUUGCCUUUAGUGCACUUUUACAUUUUAGACCUCAGAUCAGGUGGGACUACCCGCUGAACUUAAGCAUAUCAUAAGCGGAGGA